CCCCAUAGAAGAGAGACUUGAAGGGCAGACUUCACGGACCCAACUGGAUCUUGGGACAGGCAUUCCUGACAACCCAGAAAGCGCUACUGCGGAGUGAACCGAUCCUUAUAUUUUAGUUUCAUGACUUUGGGGGCGGCAGGCCUCUGAGUUGUUUUCCGCCCUGCAAAGAUCUCUGCGCUCCCACCGCCACCCUCCCGGGCGUGCGGGCCGAGAAGCAGCCAGCGGUGAGAAACUCCGACGCCCUCCCCGACACUUUUCUCCCCCCAACUCCCCAAGACUCACUUCUAGGGAAGUCCUUUUUCCUGUCAAGCCCUGGGAAAGACUGGCCAGGCUGAGAGAGGGACCCGUCCUCCUCUGUGCCAAAGGCGGGAGCAAAUCCUGGUGCUGUCGCCUUUGGAUGUGAGUCCUGGAAAUGGCGGAGGUAAGGAAGGUGGGCAGGGGCAAGGUUUGGCCCUCAGGGGAGAGCCGACGCCUUGUCCCGGAAGCGCAGCACGGCCGAGUGUGUCCGGGGGUGCAGACGGCGCCCUGGGGUGGUCCUGCCGCCGCCUCUCCUUUGAAUUCGGAGCGCCGCGCCGCGUCCGGGCGCGUUCUCAGUCGCGCGAAGCCAGAGAGGACCCUGGGCGUGAUUCUCCCUCCCUGGCACAGACGGAGACCCGAGUGACCUCGGGGUCCGGGUGGGCGUGGGGAAUGGACCCAUAGGCCCGGGACGAGCGGCGCGGAGCCAGCAGCUGGCCAGCUUCAGCCACCUCGGGAGACCAGUGCAGCUGCCGCUGCUGACAGACAAGACCAAGGCUCGGCGGGGCCCCACCCCAGAUCCGGCCUGAGCGCUUUCCGCGCUGCUCGGCCUCAAGGCGUGAGUCAUCAAGGGCCUCAAGUCCCGUGACUUGGUCCUCAGGGUCUCCUGCCUCGGGCCCAUUAAUCUUCAGACCCGGCUUUUUCGACCCCGAGCUGCCGCCCAGCCCCAAUGGCAGGGCCUUCCAGGGAGACCCAGUCGGACUGCUCCCCAGCUCCCGCAGCUGUUCGGUCCCUGCAAAGCCCCAGGGAGCGUUUCUACUCUCUCCUGAGCCCACGCCAUCCCGUCACUCCUAAGAAACUUUUUGCGCAGAAACUCCUGGAGAACAGCCCCGGCCGCCACGUACUCGCCCGGACCGCAAAGCCCACAGAGCUUCAAUUCGGAGGAAGGGGAGUGGGGAGCCCUGAGCUAGGGUGUUCCUAGAGGAGGUCGGGGAGCGGGGUUAGAGGCAUUCCAGGCUGGAGCCUGGAAGCUUUGCUAACCUUGGAGAACAUGUCAGUAAAGAAGCGUACCCAGGCCGUCCGCGGUGUGCCCACCCGGGUCCCCAUCAGUGCCCCAUGCACUCGAACUCUUCCUCGGCGUCUGCAGCCUGUUCAUCCGCGCGGAGAGGCGGAGGUCUCCCGGAAACAGAGUCCGACUGUGGCACCCCAGAGCGUCCAAUUCGAGCUCAGGCCUUUCCCCCAAGUCUGGAGUUUUCUUAUCCAGUUGAGGCCGCCUUCGCUGUACUCACUCCCUGCCUCCCGCCCCAUCCUCUGCCACCCGACCUCCAUCUUUGAUGGUUAGCGCCUUCAGCCCUCAACAGCUUCGCACAACCAACCCCUAGAAGCCGUGGAGUCAGACCGGCCAGGGUGGGACCUAGGUUUUAACUCGGGUUCUGGUUACACACGCUGCGCCUCCAUAGUUUGUCCCAGCUUUGGCAGCAGGCCGGCUACCUUCAGGAACUCUUUGCUUUGGCCUCUGUCUGUUCCUGUCCCGGUUGGGCAAGUUUCUAGCUACCCCACUGAACCAUAGAACAAGGACCCUGGCAUGGCAUACAGACAAGGAAUGUUUGCUGAAUUACCGGAGCUGGUGCGUUGCAGCUUCCCUCUUGUUCCUUGAAGUUGCCCUUGCUCUCCUCUAUAUCAGCUCCCUCUCCUCCUCAGCUACUUACUUAUUCCCCACCCUGGCUUCUUCUAGUCUCAGUCCCCAAGUACUUGCUGAAUCCUGUAUGGACAGCUUAAGCCUCCAUUUCUGACAAUUCCUGUGACCCCCACUCCAUUUGUUUUUUAGACUUCUCCCUCCUUUUUGUCCCCAUCCCCCAAGUUAUAAAACUAUAAUGCAA
Long non-coding RNA from Nomascus leucogenys (northern white-cheeked gibbon), 2114 nucleotides. RefSeq lists it as uncharacterized. The transcript is spliced from 2 exons. NCBI's taxonomy places the organism in Eukaryota, Metazoa, Chordata, Mammalia, Primates, Hylobatidae. The record is from RefSeq and is a predicted model, not a curated record.